CCUANGGGAGGCAGCAGUCGAGAAUAAUUCACAAUGGGGGCAACCCUGAUGGUGCAACGCCGCGUGGAGGAUGACGGUCUUCGGAUUGUAAACUCCUGUCAUCCGGGAGUAAGACCUGGGAGUGAAUAGCUCACAGGGUUGAUAGUACCGGAAGAGGAAGGGACGGCUAACUUCGUGCCAGCAGCCGCGGUAAUACGAAGGUCCCGAGCGUUGUUCGGAAUCACUGGGCGUAAAGGGAGCGUAGGCGGCGUGGUAAGUCAGAUGUGAAAUCCCGGGGCUCAACCCCGGAACUGCAUCCGAUACUGCCGUGCUAGAGGAUUGGAGAGGUAGCUGGAAUUCUUGGUGUAGCAGUGAAAUGCGUGGAUAUCAAGAGGAACACUCGUGGCGAAAGCGAGCUACUGGACAACUCCUGACGCUGAGGCUCGAAGGCCAGGGUAGCGAAAGGGAUUAGAUACCCCANUANUC
This 465-nucleotide ribosomal RNA is filed under the name uncultured bacterium. Its description in RNAcentral is "bacterial SSU rRNA". It matches the Rfam family "Bacterial small subunit ribosomal RNA", at positions 338 to 795 of the family's 1533-position model. The record is from RNAcentral.